GCCUACGGGAGGCUGCAGUGAGGAAUCUUCCACAAUGGGCGAAAGCCUGAUGGAGCAACGCCGCGUGAAGGAUGAAGGCCCUCGGGUUGUAAACUUCUUUUAUAAGUGAAGAAUAUGACGGUAACUUAUGAAUAAGCACCGGCUAACUACGUGCCAGCAGCCGCGGUCAUACGUAGGGUGCAAGCAUUAUCCGGAGUGACUGGGCGUAAAGAGUUGCGUAGGUGGUUUGUUAAGUGAGUAGUGAAAGCUAGCGGCUCAACCGUAUAGACUAUUAUUCAAACUGGCAAACUCGAGAAUGGUAGAGGUAACUGGAAUUUCUUGUGUAGGAGUGAAAUCCGUAGAUAUAAGAAGGAACACCAAUGGCGUAGGCAGGUUACUGGACCAUUUCUGACACUGAGGCACGAAAGCGUGGGGAGCGAACGGGAUUAGAUACCCCAGUAGUCC
Molecule: ribosomal RNA, 444 nt
Filed under: uncultured bacterium
Lineage: Bacteria
Description: bacterial SSU rRNA
Rfam family: Bacterial small subunit ribosomal RNA
Source: RNAcentral